RNAcentral lists this long non-coding RNA (1333 nucleotides) under Bos indicus x Bos taurus (hybrid cattle). RNAcentral's name for it is "lncRNA (ENSBIXG00000010892.1)". Lineage: Eukaryota; Metazoa; Chordata; Mammalia; Artiodactyla; Bovidae. The record is from RNAcentral.
AUGCCGCUCCGCCCGCGCUGCGUCCCCGCGUGCGCGCCGGGUUAUCCGGUCUUUGAGCAUGGCAGAUUUUCACUAGAUGACAUCAUGGGAGCUAGCGAGUGCCGGCUCCACAAGGGGGACGGAGAAGGGGAGGGAGAAGGGGAGGGGAGAGGCUGGGAAGCCGCGCCAGAGCCGUUGCCUGCCGCCCGCCGUCCUUCCGCCAGCCCGGGAGGAGCGCUCCGCUGGUUACUGACAAAGGAUGGGAGGAUGACUGCGCCCCGAGAUGAGCGUUGUGCGCAGCCCGGCGGCCGCCUGAGCAGCUUCGCCCUUCGCCGCAGGGGACCAGAUGUCUGAGAAGCCUUCUGACCCUGGAAGUAUGGCAAGUGGGCAUCUGCUGUGUUAAACAUAUUGCAAAACUUGAAGAAAAAAAAAAAAAAAAAAACGAUUUUAUUUUUCCCAUUUGGAUAAAGCUGGGAGUUUUAUCUUGUAAGAAAAAGCCAUUGAGAGGAAAGCCAGGGGUUCUGCUGGGUCACAAAGUCUUCAUUAUGAUGCUCUCAGUAAUGACCACACAGGACAGUUAAUGAGUUGACCUGGGGUGUAUGGUACAGCAAUUGAUACCUGAUAUCUGCCUGGGUUGCUGAUCACAUGGAUGGUUCUGGGAUGCUGAUCACAUGGAUGGUCCUGGGAUCCUGCUGAUAUUGGCUGCUAAAAUAUGCCACUCUCUGAACUAAUGCCAUCUUUAAUUAAAGUCUUUAUCAAUGGUUCUCAGAUUUUGGUGUGAAUCACAAAUACCUGUAUAAUAGCUAAAGAUCCAGAUUCUUGGGUUCCACUGACAGAAAGUUUGACAUUUUGAGUGAGAGGAACAAUCUAUCACUUUUCUAGUGGUUUGUGUCUCCCAGAGAGAGGGACUUCCAGCUACAAUGUAAGCACCUAUGUUGUAGUACUAUUUGUACCUGUGAAGCUAUUAAGAAAGAAAAAAACAGACAUUAUUAUAGCUAUGAUCUCGCUAUAAGAAGAAAAAUGAAGCUCUAGAUGGCCCCUUAUUUAUUUCAAAGCACAACUAGUACAUUGAAAUUGCAGCAUAAAUAAUUUGAAUGUUCUGUGGCUGGUACAGCUGGUUAAACUGUAUAUUCACAAUGCAUAGACUAUGGACUUCCAUAAUUUACUUAAAGUGUACCAGAAAUAAGAACUUCAGAGAGACUCUUUCUUCUCCAUAGAAGCAGCAGCUAAAGUAUGUAUCUUGGUAUAUAUCAGAAGUAGUAACUUGAUUGAAGGAUUUCACUUCAGACAGGUCUGAUGAAGUUCAAAGCUUUUAAAUACAUCAGAAAAGAAUAUUGAAAACAGUGGCAAAUGA